AAAGGGGGAGGAACACAGAACAGAACCCACCUGGAGGAUGUGUCCAAAACAGAACCUUAGGCGGCUAAUUUUCUUUCCUGUAGGGCCUUACCACCACGCGUCCCAGUUGGCACUUUAAAAACACACACAAGAAGGUUCUGACCUCCUGAAAGCUCAACAGGCGUUUGCAGUCACCAGCCACUCCAAGACAAACACAGGAGAGUGCAUUCGCUAUCUCUACUUGAGCAAAGUUGGUUCUGAUGGGAGAAAACAUCCUUAACACGAGUUCUCAAGCCAGGCCACAAAGAAGAAAAAUCUCAAUAAAGAGGACACAGUAAAGAAGGAGACGCCUCCUUGCAACAAACUCAUUGACUGACAGUAA
Heteronotia binoei (common prickly gecko) is the source of this 361-nucleotide long non-coding RNA. RefSeq lists it as uncharacterized. The transcript is spliced from 3 exons. Lineage: Eukaryota; Metazoa; Chordata; Lepidosauria; Squamata; Gekkonidae. The record is from RefSeq and is a predicted model, not a curated record.